RNAcentral lists this ribosomal RNA (372 nucleotides) under uncultured bacterium. RNAcentral describes it as "bacterial SSU rRNA". It matches the Rfam family "Bacterial small subunit ribosomal RNA", at positions 524 to 898 of the family's 1533-position model. The record is from RNAcentral.
UACGGAGGAUGCAAGCGUUAUCCGGAUUUAUUGGGUUUAAAGGGUGCGCAGGCGGGGAAAUAAGUCAGUGGUGAAAUGCUGCCGCUUAACGGUAGAAUUGCCAUUGAUACUGUUUUUCUUGAGUGUGGUUGAGGUAGGUGGAAUGUGCAGUGUAGCGGUGAAAUGCAUAGAUAUUGCACAGAACUCCGAUUGCGAAGGCAGCUUACUAAGCCAUUACUGACGCUGAGGCACGAAAGCGUGGGUAGCGAACAGGAUUAGAUACCCUGGUAGUCCACGCCGUAAACGAUGUUCACUCGCUGUUUGCGAUACACAGCAAGCGGCUGAGCGAAAGCAUUAAGUGAACCACCUGGGGAGUACGAUCGCAAGGUUGAA